GAUGAACGCUGGCGGCGUGCCUAAUACAUGCAAGUAGAACGCUGAAGCUUGGUGCUUGCACCGAGCGGACGAGUUGCGAACGGGUGAGUAACGCGUAGGUAACCUGCCUCUUAGCGGGGGAUAACUAUUGGAAACGAUAGCUAAUACCGCAUAAAAGUCGAUAUCGCAUGAUAUUGAUUUGAAAGGUGCAAAUGCAUCACUAAGAGAUGGACCUGCGUUGUAUUAGCUAGUUGGUGAGGUAACGGCUCACCAAGGCGACGAUACAUAGCCGACCUGAGAGGGUGAUCGGCCACACUGGGACUGGGACACGGCCCAGACUCCUACGGGAGGCAGCAGUAGGGAAUCUUCGGCAAUGGGGGCAACCCUGACCGAGCAACGCCGCGUGAGUGAAGAAGGUUUUCGGAUCGUAAAGCUCUGUUGUAAGAGAAGAACGAGUGUGAGAGUGGAAAGUUCACACUGUGACGGUAACUUACCAGAAAGGGACGGCUAACUACGUG
Molecule: ribosomal RNA, 497 nt
Filed under: uncultured bacterium
Lineage: Bacteria
Description: partial 16S ribosomal RNA
Rfam family: Bacterial small subunit ribosomal RNA
Source: RNAcentral